This 194-nucleotide ribosomal RNA is filed under the name uncultured bacterium. RNAcentral's name for it is "partial 16S rRNA". It matches the Rfam family "Bacterial small subunit ribosomal RNA", at positions 338 to 524 of the family's 1533-position model. The record is from RNAcentral.
CCUACGGGAGGCAGCAGUGGGGAAUAUUGGACAAUGGGCGCAAGCCUGAUCCAGCCAUACCGCGUGGGUGAAGAAGGCCUUCGGGUUGUAAAGCCCUUUUGUUGGGAAAGAAAAGCAACUGGCUAAUACCCGGUUGUUCUGACGGUACCCAAAGAAUAAGCACCGGCUAANUUCGUGCCAGCAGCCGCGGUAAU